Cydia splendana is the source of this 269-nucleotide long non-coding RNA. RefSeq lists it as uncharacterized. Lineage: Eukaryota; Metazoa; Arthropoda; Insecta; Lepidoptera; Tortricidae. The record is from RefSeq and is a predicted model, not a curated record. The transcript has 2 exons.
UUCCAUAGAAACAAUUAAUGAUUUAAAAAAAAACGCACCCGUUAUGCCAAAAAAUCAAAAAUAAUUCGUAGUAUAACCACCUGCUAGGAUAUUACGGUUUGUUUUGCGGUCCUUGAGUAAUAAUGAUUUCUUGUUCCUGCUCCAUACAUUGUUUUCGAAAAAAAAUCGUAACUCAACAAUUUUCAUUCCAAAUCGUCUAAAAUUCAUAGGUUACCAUAACAAUGCCUAGCAAAACCUAUUUCAAUCAAAAAAACAUAAAAAUAACAACU